This 465-nucleotide ribosomal RNA is filed under the name uncultured bacterium. RNAcentral's name for it is "partial 16S ribosomal RNA". It matches the Rfam family "Bacterial small subunit ribosomal RNA", at positions 28 to 507 of the family's 1533-position model. The record is from RNAcentral.
GACGAACGCUGGCGGCGUGCUUAACACAUGCAAGUCGAACGGAAAGGCCCUGCUUGCACGCUACUCGCGUGGGCGACGGGCGGGUGACUCGCGGGUGGACUGCCCUCCACUUCGGCAUAAGCCUGGGAGACUGGGUCUAAUACCUAAUAGGAGCCAUAUUUAGCGUGAUGGUUGGAUAGUUUUUUCGGUGUAUGGUGAGCUCGCGGGCUAUCUGCUUGUUGGUGGGGUAAUGGCCUACCAAGGCGGCGACGGGUAGCCGGCCUGGGUGGGUGGACGGCCACAUUGGGACCGAGGGGCGGCCCAGACUGCGACGGGAUGGAGAAGUGGGGAAGAUUGCACGAUGGGCGCCAGCCUGGUGCAGCGACGCCGCGGGGCGGAUGACGGCCUUCGGGGUGAAAAAUACUUUCGCUAGGAACGAAGCAUUUUGUGACGGUACCUAGAUAAGAAGCCCCGGCUAACUACGUG